Molecule: ribosomal RNA, 1084 nt
Filed under: Paracaprella pusilla
Lineage: Eukaryota; Metazoa; Arthropoda; Malacostraca; Amphipoda; Caprellidae
Description: partial large subunit ribosomal RNA
Rfam family: Eukaryotic large subunit ribosomal RNA
Source: RNAcentral
GAGCCCAGCGCAGAACGUUCCGGGGCACUCGCCCUGAGAAUGAAUGUUGCGUUAAGGAUAUUGGCAUACACCCAUGGCAGUUACACUUUGCUAAGUCAGCCUCGAAUGGUUCUCGUGAAGCCGGUAACACGGUGAGACUCCAGGGAGGGUGUUAGACCCGUGUGAAGGUGCAAUCUGCUUGGGCAAGCCGAUAUCCCGAGAGUCGCGUUGUUUGAACAUGCAGCGCUAAGCAGGUCGUAGACUCGAUCUAAGGCUAAAUAUGUCCACAGAACCGAUAGUUAACAAGUACCGUGAGGGAAAGUUGAAAAGCACUCCGUAACGGAGAGUCAAAAGACCGUGAAACCACUCAGAGUAUAAGCCAAUGGUGUCUGGAAGGUCCUGUGCUUACAUCUUGGUGUCAAGGACUCAUGCGAACCUCAGCACUUGCGGGAGCAAUCUCCGUUGCUUUGGUAAGCUUGUCCGCUGAAGCACUCCGUUGACCCACCUGGCUCGUUGUGAGGUGUCCUGAGAGCAAAGCGAAGUGUUAAGAUUGGCUUGGAGUUGGGCGUGGGCGUCUCGAUGCCUUUCGCACUCUCCUUUUCGAGCACUUCUUCAGUUCUAUUCGCACAAAGUGUGGUAGUCUUGGAGUGUGCGCUGCUUGACGCUCUCUGGAACCAUCCUCUGCGACGAAGCUUCAAUGCCUUAGUGAGCGGCCGUCUUCCUCCUCGGGAGUCGGUACAUUGGCGCGGCUUGCACACUGUCGGUGCUCCGCUGUUCAACUCUGGCGCAAGGUGUUACGUCCGAUACCAUUGGUCACGUCUCGAAACACGGGCCAAGGAGUAUAGCGUGUGUGCAAGUCUAAGGGUUCCACAAAACCUGGAGGCGUAGUGAAAGCGAGUUAUGGUGUCUCACUGGACUGAUGGAGAAGGCAGUGAUGCGUGAUCCCGCAAGUCCCGGACUCGUCGUCUGCACUGCUUCGGUUGUGUUAGCGCGAGCACCGCAGAGCACAUACGCUAUGACCCGAAAGAUAGUGAACUAUGCUUGGCGAGGGUGAAGCCCCAGGAAACUGGGGUGGAGGCCCGUAGCCGUUGUGACGUGCAAAUCC